RNAcentral lists this long non-coding RNA (853 nucleotides) under Homo sapiens (human). Its description in RNAcentral is "HSALNT0128271". Lineage: Eukaryota; Metazoa; Chordata; Mammalia; Primates; Hominidae. The record is from RNAcentral.
GCACACACCUUAAACAAACAAUGAAAGCCACCAGACAGAAACCUCUAGCACUUUCUUAUUUCUAGUGCUGGGAUUAAUACGUCCUCCUUUUGAGUACUGAAUAUGGUAGGUCCCAUUUUCUCACACUGAGAAAAAAGUCAAAGAUAGGUUCUCUCCAUUCCCCAAUCCCCUCCACCAAACCAAACCAAACAAAAAAUUGGAAAAGGGUGAAUGUGCAGUAAAGUCUCCAUGUUAGAAAGUGCCUUUUCACUUUGGAAAAGUUAAUUUUAUAAAACAACUUGGUUGACCAUUCACUUUUCUCCACAGGGGAUGAAAAGGAAGGGGUGCCGCAGCUUGCACAGAAGGUAUGGGAAUGGCAUUACUGCUUUAUUCUUUGCCUUGGUCUACACAGGAAUAAAGCAAAGAAGAAACUGGUGCCUAAGGUCACACUGAUAAUAGAUGAAGUGAUGGAGCAAGGAUUCAACCGCCAGCAGUUCGGUUCCUCAGCCUCCCCCGAUCUCAUAUGCUACUCAUGACCAUCUGUUACACCUUAGAGGGAAUCUAAAUCAUCUAAUCACUAAAUGAUGCGCCCACUGCUUCAUCUCUACUUAUACAGUGAAAGAUCAUCGCUUUCAUCAAAGGUAUUUUGAGCAUCAAAUUGGAAAUCCUGGGAAACUCCUGGGCGUGGAGGACCUCAGAUGUCACCCUGCAGCUUUCUCUGUCUCUGAGAACAGAUCUAGAGCCUUAGUGCCAUCGCCACUACAGAUGGGCUAAAUUCAAGGACUGAUGACUACUCAAGGCUGCUAUGGAGUUAAAAUAAAUAGCAUAAGAACAUGAAUGUGACACAAUAAGGUUUUACUGGAAGAAGAGUUAG